RNAcentral lists this ribosomal RNA (300 nucleotides) under uncultured Ornithinimicrobium sp. RNAcentral describes it as "bacterial SSU rRNA". The stretch from base 52 to 300 matches the Rfam family "Bacterial small subunit ribosomal RNA", at positions 547 to 795 of the family's 1533-position model. Lineage: Bacteria; Bacillati; Actinomycetota; Actinomycetes; Micrococcales; Ornithinimicrobiaceae. The record is from RNAcentral.
GUCGAGCGCGGGCAGGCGGCGUCGGGGAUAGGGGGGGUGCAAGCGUGUCGUGGAAUGACGUGGCGUAAAGCGAACGCGGGCGGCGCGGGAAGGCGGGUGUGAAAGCCCCGGGCUACACCCGUGAACUGCAUUCGAAACUGCUGGGCUUGAGUUCGGAAGAGGGUGGUGGAAGUCCUGGUGGAGAGGUGAAAUUCGUUGAUAUCAGGAGGAACACCGGCGGCGAAGGCGACCACCUGGUCCGAUACUGACGCUCAUGUGCGAAAGCGUGGGUAGCAAACAGAAUUAGAUACCCCAGUAGUC